GUUUUUUUUUUGUGUGCUCAUAA
Molecule: small nuclear RNA, 23 nt
Filed under: Arabidopsis thaliana (thale cress)
Lineage: Eukaryota; Viridiplantae; Streptophyta; Magnoliopsida; Brassicales; Brassicaceae
Description: snRNA_00604
Source: RNAcentral